UGGGGAAUAUUGGACAAUGGGCGAAAGCCUGAUCCAGCAAUGCCGCGUGAGUGAUGAAGGCCUUAGGGUUGUAAAGCUCUUUUACCCGGGAUGAUAAUGACAGUACCGGGAGAAUAAGCUCCGGCUAACUCCGUGCCAGCAGCCGCGGUAAUACGGAGGGAGCUAGCGUUGUUCGGAUAUACUGGGCGUAAAGCGCACGUAGGCGGCGUGGUAAGUCAGGGGUGAAAUCCCGGAGCUCAACUCCGGAACUGCCCUUGAAACUGCUGUGCUAGAAUCUUGGAGAGGCGAGUGGAAUUCCGAGUGUAGAGGUGAAAUUCGUAGAUAUUCGGAAGAACACCAGUGGCGAAGGCGACUCGCUGGACAAGUAUUGACGCUGAGGUGCG
This 383-nucleotide ribosomal RNA is filed under the name uncultured Sphingomonadales bacterium. RNAcentral's name for it is "bacterial SSU rRNA". It matches the Rfam family "Bacterial small subunit ribosomal RNA", at positions 355 to 755 of the family's 1533-position model. The record is from RNAcentral. Lineage: Bacteria; Pseudomonadati; Pseudomonadota; Alphaproteobacteria; Sphingomonadales.